GUUUAGUUGAUACGAAAGAUCACUCUAGACAGACUGCCGUUGACAAAACGGAGGAAGGUGGGGACGACGUCAAAUCAUCAUGCCCCUUAUGUCCUGGGCUACACACGUACUACAAUGGCGGUCAUACAGAGCGAAGCAAGACAGUGAUGUGGAGCAGAUCGCUAAAAGCCGCCUCAGUUCAGAUCGUAGGCUGAAACCCGCCUACGUGAAGUCGGAAUUGCUAGUAAUCGCGGAUCAGCAUGCCGCGGUGAAUACGUUCCCGGGCCUU
RNAcentral lists this ribosomal RNA (268 nucleotides) under uncultured Oscillospiraceae bacterium. RNAcentral's name for it is "partial 16S ribosomal RNA". It matches the Rfam family "Bacterial small subunit ribosomal RNA", at positions 1109 to 1382 of the family's 1533-position model. The record is from RNAcentral. Lineage: Bacteria; Bacillati; Bacillota; Clostridia; Eubacteriales; Oscillospiraceae.